Molecule: long non-coding RNA, 2334 nt
Organism: Myotis myotis
Lineage: Eukaryota; Metazoa; Chordata; Mammalia; Chiroptera; Vespertilionidae
Exons: 4
Source: RefSeq, a predicted model, not a curated record
CUGGGCAAAGGAUAAUGGAAAUUUUCAGCAGUUUGGGGUUUCCUUUGUUCAUGUUAAACUAAGAAUUCCAGUAUCUUCAGGCUAGAAAGCUGGAGUUCAUUCUUUUGAAAAACAUGAACUGAGCCCGGCGCUAAAGGCUGGACAUGCAAAAAGAAGCCAGUCUUGCCUUGGGAAGAAAAGGAUAUCCACAGCUACACCACAGCGUUUCAGAAGAAAACAUAUGGUGCUUCCAUUCUCUCCCGAGUCUUUCAACCCCGCAAUGUUUCCCACCUGGAGAGCUGCUUUGACUACCAGGGAAAGGACGCUGACCUGGCUUAGCUGGAGCAAACAAAAGAUGCAGGACUGAGCCUGCUUGCUGAAAGGAGCUAGAAGAUGCCGGCUGGAACCAUGAACAGAAUUGCCCUUUGUGACCAGGCCCUUAGUGGCUCCAGCAGAGUGGUUUUAAUCUUUCAUAGGCCAUGCAACACUUCGGGACAAUCGGGUGGAAUUCAGGAUCCUCUCCUAGAAAACCUCUCGGAAGCACAUAAACAUAAGGUAUUGUACAUAACUUCUGGGGAUGCACAAACCCCAGAGGCACAAAGACAGCUACCAGGAGGAGCAGGAACCCUGUUCACCUUGGUCUGAGCGUCUAUGUGCCAAGCAGCAUGAAGACCCCACCUCAAACUCAACUCAUCGCCAUACUGAAUGCUGGAACAUUUUCCCACACGCUGCUUGGAACACUGUCCCCGAGUCUUCUGCCCAGGAAACAUCUAUUCAGCAGUGUCUCACCUCUUGAAUGAAAACCUUCUGCACCCUAACUCCCCACCCUCCCAUAGAAACUAAGUGAACCCUUGAUUCUGCCCUACUAUGCUCUACAGGUGCUGGUGUCAGAGAUCCUAUAGCAUUUAUCACCUUCAUGCAUUUACAUGCCUUUCUCCUUCUGCUACACGCAACCUGAGGGCAGGGACUCUAACUUAGUUAUCUUGUAUUUCAGGUUCUGGUAAAGUCCUCAUUCUGGAGAAAAACAUUCUGUAGAGGGAGACAGACACAAAACCAGAUAAUUUAAACACAGAAAAUCCAAAUGCUGAGCCUGAUGGGAUGAGUGAUUUUUAAGCUAAAUUUAGACAGAGGAGCAACAAUAAAUCAAAGUUAGGAGUGGCCAUGCUGGGCAGAGGAGGCAGCAAGGCUUGCAAACAGGAAGGAAUGUGAGCAAGGAAUAAAGUAACUCAGGAUUCGUGAUGACUAAAGAGGUAGGCAGAAAGCAGCUGUAAGGAGAGGUGAGGUUAAGGAGGACACUGAAUGAAGUCUAAGGGAGCUGGAAUUUAUUGUGUAAAGGUGGGAAGUCAUUGAAAGAUUUUUUUUCUACUUAAAAGUAACAAAUGAUAAUUGUAGAGAAUGAAGACACAAGUGAGGAAAAUUAUAACUCUGCCAUAUAGAGACAACCACUAUUACUAUUCUUUCAUCUCUGUGUUAGAUAAACGUGUUUGUGCGUAUGAUUUUCAUGUUCUUUUAAUUCUGCUAAUAUUUAUUAAGCAUUUACUAGGUAUCAGACAUUGUGCUAAAUACACCACAGGCAUUCUGUCAUGUUAUUUAAUCCUCACAAAAAUUCUUAAGAAAAGUUCCUAUUGUAAUCCUAUUUUAAAGAGACAGACAUAGGGAGGGGGUGGGGGUUAGUACUACUAUGCAAGUCCACACAGCUAAUGUGUAGCUGAGCUGAGAUUUAACACCAAGUUUUCUUACUGCAAAGACUAUACACUUACAUUUCAAGUUUCAUUUAUUCUCACUCAUUUAAUUUAUAAGACGAGUGAAUCAUUUUAUCCAAUUUUCUCAGGAAACUGCUUUGUGCUCUUGAUUAGCCUUGUAAUAAAGCAGAAACAUAAACCCGGAAAGUAUGAACACCUCACUGUACUGUCUUCCCACAUAGGGAGCACAGAAAACCCCUGGCGUUUAUUUGGAUCUUUUUGUAGUCCUAGUAAUGUUUGCAGUUUUCUUGUAACCUUAGGAGGGUACAUGUUCAGAUAUAUACUUUGGACAGAUUAGUCUGGCAACAGUAUGAAGAAUGGAUCUGAGAAAACCAGAUUGGAAGGCUGAAGUAUCUGGCCACAAUCCAGGAUGUGUGCAUAUGUAUUUGUGCACAACGUGCACACUCAAAUUGAUGGUAUCCCGGUCAUAAGAAGACAUGCAAUAACGUCAAGAUUGUCACAGAGAGACCUGGGUCAGAAGGAUUUGCAAGAUCAAGCCCUCUUCACAACCACUUAGAACUGGGAGUCACAACUAGUCAAGACUAAUAAAACGCAUUUAACAACCCAAAAAUGGCUUUGGGUGAUUCUUCCUAAAUUGACAGAAAACCGUAUU